CGGCGAUGUAUGCCCGUACGUAACCGCGAACCGCGAAGAGAUGAAAAUACAAGUCUGUUCCAAGUGGUAGUUUUGUCUUAUGGGAUGUAACGCCGCACUGCCAGCUGAAAGUAAGCCAACAUUUUGGAGAAAUGUGUCACUUCAGUCUUCAUGGUCGAACUCUGUUUUCGACCUGCUUUACGGUGGUUUCAUGCUUGGCUUAUUCCUCGACGCUGAAGAUGAUGAGGGAACAUUCCAGAUGAAGCAGCCAGCCAAAGACCUGAAGAGACUGGGUCCAAAGUGAGCCCAGAUAAUGGGAUGGAGAGACGUGGGCCAUGGUAACACAGAAAGGUGCCAAGAUGUUUGGAGAGUCUUACAGCAAGAGUACUGAGUCCAACACCUGGGGAGCACCUGUAAUUCUUUGCACAGAAAUACCGCCCAUGCCCAUUGAAGAAAUUGAGUGUGAUUGUGUGGACACAGAAGAGAACAGGCAAAGAAGAGAAUUUUGUAAUCAUAUUGAGGGUUAUGGCAGCGUCUGCAGCAGCACGGAUCCUGCGCCAUUGUUGUUUAACCCUGAACCAGUGAGUAGCAACAAAAUAUAUGUUGUUUUUUAGAUUAAUAAUUGUUGUGUCAGAUCAUGCCUACAAUUUCCAUUAAAA
Molecule: long non-coding RNA, 638 nt
Organism: Cryptotermes secundus
Lineage: Eukaryota; Metazoa; Arthropoda; Insecta; Blattodea; Kalotermitidae
Exons: 3
Source: RefSeq, a predicted model, not a curated record